This 740-nucleotide non-coding RNA is filed under the name Cryptocellus narino. Lineage: Eukaryota; Metazoa; Arthropoda; Arachnida; Ricinulei; Ricinoididae. The record is from RNAcentral.
GUAUUUUCAAAAAAAAAAAAAAACUAAACUUGUUUCAAACUUGAUUUAAUUCAAAUGCUAUAUACAAAAAUAUGAAAACUUUAAGGGUAGUAACAAAAAUUAAAAUGUUGAAUUACUUUCAACUUGGUUUGGUAUGACAAACCGGCAAAGGGCGGGCCAGCAGCUGCGGUUACACGGUUGAUUGGUUCAAGUGUUUCGGUUUUUUGGUUUUUUUUGGGGGGGGGGGCGAUAGGUUUGUUUUAUGGUGAAAUAAUAGCUUUUUUGGCUUUCCUGUAUUAAUUAAUGGAAGUCUAUAAAUAAAACCAGGAUUAGAUACCCUGUUAUUUUUGAUGUUUGAAUUCUGGAGUAGUAUGAGAUGUUCUUGAAACUUUAGUGUUUUGGCGGUCUUUUUUCUUGCUAGAGGAACUUGUUCUGUAAUUGAUAAUCCUCAUUAUAUUUUACUCAAUUGUGUUUGUAUACCGCUGUUGAUGAUAUUUUUAAAAUGAAAUAUUUGUUAAGUACUCUCGUUACGUCAAGUCAAGGUGCAGCUUGUUUUUGAGAUUGAAAUGAGUUACUAUAAGGGAAUUGUGGAGGAUUAGAUGAAAUGUUAUUUUGAUAUUGGAUUUAGUAGUAAUUGGGUAUUAGAGAGAUUUAAUGAAUAAAGUUUGAAAAGAUGUACAUAUCGCCCGUCACUCUCGGUGUUAGGAAAUUGAGAUAAGUCGUAACAAAGUGGGUGUACUGGAAAGUGUAUCUGGAUGAAC